This 554-nucleotide long non-coding RNA is filed under the name Homo sapiens (human). Its description in RNAcentral is "HSALNT0008915". The record is from RNAcentral. Lineage: Eukaryota; Metazoa; Chordata; Mammalia; Primates; Hominidae.
GCAGUUUGAUCUCAGACUGCUGUGCUAGCAAUCAGCAAGACUCCGUGGGCGUAGGACCCUCCAAGCCAGGUGCGAUAUAAUGUCGUGGUGCGCCGUUUUUUAAGCUGGUUGGAAAAGCGCAGUAUUCGCGUGGGAGUGACCCGAUUUUCCAGUGAGAUGAACCCGGUACCUCAGAUUGAAAUGCAGAAAUCACCCGUCUUCUGCGUCGCUCACGCUGGGAGCUGUAGACCGGAGCUGUUCCUAUUCGGCCAUCUUGGCUCCUCCCUCAGUUCUGGAGACUGGGACAUCCAAGGUCAAUGUGCUGGCAGAUUCAAUGUCUGGAGUGAAAUACAUCACCGCUUUCCCUGCUCCCGCCGCCAUUAAAAUUGUGUUUGGCAUCUGACCACCAAGAUACAGAUAUUUCCUAGACUGUUUUGCAGCUAGGUACUUAGAUAGUAAUGAAGAUAGGGGCCACCAUUCCCUGUGAAAAUCAAGUGGGAAAGUCCUGAGUCCUUUAAUGACUUUACAGAGGACAGAAUAAACUCCUAUCAUAUUCAUGCAAUUGUGCCUAUGGG